Molecule: ribosomal RNA, 253 nt
Filed under: uncultured bacterium
Lineage: Bacteria
Description: partial 16S ribosomal RNA
Rfam family: Bacterial small subunit ribosomal RNA
Source: RNAcentral
UACGAAGGGGGCUAGCGUUGCUCGGAAUCACUGGGCGUAAAGGGUGCGUAGGCGGGUUUUUAAGUCAGGGGUGAAAUCCUGGAGCUCAACUCCAGAACUGCCUUUGAUACUGAAGAUCUUGAGUCCGGGAGAGGUGAGUGGAACUGCGAGUGUAGAGGUGAAAUUCGUAGAUAUUCGCAAGAACACCAGUGGCGAAGGCGGCUCACUGGCCCGGUACUGACGCUGAGGCACGAAAGCGUGGGGGAGCAAACAG